AACGCACAUUGCGCCCCCUGGUAUUCCGGGGGGCACACCUGUUCGAGCGCCAUUUCAACCCUGGAGCCCUGCUCUGUGAUGGGCCCCGUCCUCAGGGACGGGCCCGAAACCCGUGGGCGCCUCCGUAAGGCCCUGAGCGUAGCAAGAGAAAUCCCUCGCUCGGAGUGCCCUAUGGCGGCCGCCCCGAACCAUCUUAAAAGGUUGGCCUCGGAUCAGGUGGGGAUACCCGCUGAACUUAA
RNAcentral lists this unclassified non-coding RNA (239 nucleotides) under Fraxinicola sp. RNAcentral's name for it is "partial contains 5.8S ribosomal RNA, internal transcribed spacer 2, and large subunit ribosomal RNA". RNAcentral also lists the same sequence under 2 other names. Lineage: Eukaryota; Fungi; Ascomycota; Dothideomycetes; Venturiales; Venturiaceae. The record is from RNAcentral.